GGGAGCGACUUGGCUUCGACAGGAGUAAGUCUGCUUAGAUGGCAUGUCGCUUUGGGCAAAGCGUAAAAAGCCCAAAUAAAAUUAAACGCAAACAACGUUAAAUUCGCUCCUGCUUACGCUAAAGCUGCGUAAGUUCAGUUGAGCCUGAAAUUUAAGUCAUACUAUCUAGCUUAAUUUUCGGUCAUUUUUGAUAGUGUAGCCUUGCGUUUGACAAGCGUUGAGGUGAAAUAAAGUCUUAGCCUUGCUUUUGAGUUUUGGAAGAUGAGCGAAGUACGGUGAAGUAGUCAUCUUUGCUAAGCAUGUAGAGGUCUUUGUGGGAUUAUUUUUGGACAGGGGUUCGAUUCCCCUCGCUUCCACCA
Molecule: transfer-messenger RNA, 359 nt
Filed under: Campylobacter jejuni
Lineage: Bacteria; Pseudomonadati; Campylobacterota; Epsilonproteobacteria; Campylobacterales; Campylobacteraceae
Rfam family: transfer-messenger RNA
About the family: Bacterial tmRNA, also known as 10Sa RNA or SsrA, is named for its dual tRNA and mRNA-like properties.
Source: RNAcentral